AGAAGGCUCUUUUCAUUGUAAGUACUACUAUGGAUAUUCAAGGAAAUUCCCCUUGGAAUGGUAGAAUACAUAUUGAAUAUUGAAGCACAAAAUAGCACCCCCUGGCACGCACGCCUUGAUUAUUUACGAAGGAAGCAGGACUCGAACACAUGCGAAUAACAUGGUUGAUCAAGUAGAGCCAUAUGUCAUUGAGAACACCUGAUUGCAUUUGAAGCUAUAAACACAUAGUUGUUGAGUGCCAUGUCAUGGAUUUUAUAGCUUUUCUGUGUGUGUUUUCUUACCCCUACUUUGAAGUGCAAUUGUAUUUUUGCCUUCGUUUUUCAACUUUGUGUUUUUGCCUUUGCUAUUUACAACUCAACAUGAUUUUGCCCUUGAUUUUUGUACAUUCCCCCCCACA
RNAcentral lists this long non-coding RNA (397 nucleotides) under Setaria viridis. RNAcentral's name for it is "long non-coding RNA (SVIR_LNC011261)". The record is from RNAcentral. Lineage: Eukaryota; Viridiplantae; Streptophyta; Magnoliopsida; Poales; Poaceae.